UACGUAGGGGGCUAGCGUUGUCCGGAUUUAUUGGGCGUAAAGAGCGUGUAGGCGGCCAGGUAGGUCUGCUGUGAAAACUCGAGGCUUAACCUCGAGAUGUCGGCGGAAACCAUCUGGCUAGAGUCCGGAAGAGGAGAGUGGAAUUCCUGGUGUAGCGGUGAAAUGCGCAGAUAUCGGGAAGAACACCCGUGGCGAAGGCGGCUCUCUGGGACGGUACUGACGCUGAGACGCGAAAGCGUGGGGAGCGAACAGG
RNAcentral lists this ribosomal RNA (253 nucleotides) under uncultured bacterium. RNAcentral's name for it is "partial 16S ribosomal RNA". It matches the Rfam family "Bacterial small subunit ribosomal RNA", at positions 524 to 776 of the family's 1533-position model. The record is from RNAcentral.